AUCCUUUUGUAGUUCAUAAGCAUGAUGAUUGGGUGUUCACGUGCAUGUGUGAGAUAUGCCUUGUCAAGACAUCAGCACAUUACCCAUCUGAUA
Molecule: small nucleolar RNA, 93 nt
Organism: Papio anubis (olive baboon)
Lineage: Eukaryota; Metazoa; Chordata; Mammalia; Primates; Cercopithecidae
Source: Ensembl